UCCAGAGUAGCUCAGCGGUAGAGCAGUUGGCUGUUAACCAAUUGGUCGUAGGUUCGAUCCCUACCUCUGGAGCCA
Molecule: transfer RNA, 75 nt
Filed under: Syntrophomonadaceae bacterium
Lineage: Bacteria; Bacillati; Bacillota; Clostridia; Eubacteriales; Syntrophomonadaceae
Description: tRNA-Asn
Rfam family: tRNA
About the family: Transfer RNA (tRNA) molecules are approximately 80 nucleotides in length. Their secondary structure includes four short double-helical elements and three loops (D, anti-codon, and T loops). Further hydrogen bonds mediate the characteristic L-shaped molecular structure. tRNAs have two regions of fundamental functional importance: the anti-codon, which is responsible for specific mRNA codon recognition, and the 3' end, to which the tRNAs corresponding amino acid is attached (by aminoacyl-tRNA synthetases). tRNAs cope with the degeneracy of the genetic code in two manners: having more than one tRNA (with a specific anti-codon) for a particular amino acid; and 'wobble' base-pairing, i.e. permitting non-standard base-pairing at the 3rd anti-codon position.
Source: RNAcentral